Dendroctonus ponderosae (mountain pine beetle) is the source of this 342-nucleotide long non-coding RNA. RefSeq lists it as uncharacterized. Lineage: Eukaryota; Metazoa; Arthropoda; Insecta; Coleoptera; Curculionidae. The transcript has 3 exons. The record is from RefSeq and is a predicted model, not a curated record.
GGCAAAGACCUAAAAGGACGUAGAUUUUUACCAGUCAUGAGGUAAACCACCUAGUAAAAAUUGGCGAAAGUACGCCAUAAGAGCUUGCUAAGCGCUGCAUAACUAAUUUAGUAACAAAUGGUUUGGCUCAAAAAUAUACAUUUUUUGGAUCUCAAAUAAAAUCUGCUCUCCUCCAAUUUAAGUUUUGGGACUAAUUGAAUGCUGCAAUCGUUCGUCAAAAUUCUGAGGUCACGACGAAAGUGACCGAAAAAAACGUUCAGAAUUGGUUAAGGCGAGCGAAUGAGCGCCUAAAAUUUUGACGGCAAUCGACUAAUUCCUUGUGGUUUUGUUACUGGUUUUUCG